This 449-nucleotide ribosomal RNA is filed under the name uncultured bacterium. RNAcentral describes it as "partial 16S ribosomal RNA". It matches the Rfam family "Bacterial small subunit ribosomal RNA", at positions 354 to 795 of the family's 1533-position model. The record is from RNAcentral.
GUGGGGAAUAUUGGACAAUGGGCGAAAGCCUGAUCCAGCCAUGCCGCGUGUGUGAAGAAGGUCUUCGGAUUGUAAAGCACUUUAAGUUGGGAGGAAGGGCAUUAACCUAAUACGUUAGUGUUUUGACGUUACCGACAGAAUAAGCACCGGCUAACUUCGUGCCAGCAGCCGCGGUAAUACGAAGGGUGCAAGCGUUAAUCGGAAUUACUGGGCGUAAAGCGCGCGUAGGUGGUUUUGUAAGUUGGAGGUGAAAUCCCCGGGCUCAACCUGGGAACUGCCUCCAAAACUGCAUGACUAGAGUACGGUAGAGGGUAGUGGAAUUUCCUGUGUAGCGGUGAAAUGCGUAGAUAUAGGAAGGAACACCAGUGGCGAAGGCGACUACCUGGACUGAUACUGACACUGAGGUGCGAAAGCGUGGGGAGCAAACAGGAUUAGAAACCCGAGUAGUC